Molecule: ribosomal RNA, 18 nt
Filed under: Oreina speciosa
Lineage: Eukaryota; Metazoa; Arthropoda; Insecta; Coleoptera; Chrysomelidae
Also listed under: 1 other name
Description: partial 28S ribosomal RNA
Source: RNAcentral
CGACCUCAGAGUAGGUGA